UACAGAGGGGGCAAGCGUUAUUCGGCAUUAUUGGGCGUAAAGGGCGCGUAUGCGGCGAUUCAAGUGACGGGUGAAAUCCCUCGGCUUAACCGAGGAACUGCCUGUCAGACUGGAUUGCUUGAGGCCGGGAGAGGCGAGUGGAAUUCCCAGUGUAGCGGUGAAAUGCGUAGAUAUUGGGAGGAACACCAGUGGCGAAGGCGGCUCGCUGGACCGGUUCUGACGCUGAGGCGCGAAAGCGUGGGGAGCAAACAGG
RNAcentral lists this ribosomal RNA (253 nucleotides) under uncultured bacterium. RNAcentral's name for it is "partial 16S ribosomal RNA". It matches the Rfam family "Bacterial small subunit ribosomal RNA", at positions 524 to 776 of the family's 1533-position model. The record is from RNAcentral.